Molecule: transfer RNA, 71 nt
Filed under: Marmota monax (woodchuck)
Lineage: Eukaryota; Metazoa; Chordata; Mammalia; Rodentia; Sciuridae
Description: tRNA.Ala
Source: RNAcentral
GAGGUUGUGGCUCAGCGGUAGAGUGCUUGCCUAGCAUGUGUGAGGCCCUGGGUUCGAUCUUCAGCACCACA